CGGAACGUGCCUAGUAGUGGGGGAUAACUACUCGAAAGAGUAGCUAAUACCGCAUGAGAUCUAAGGAUGAAAGCAGGGGACCUUCGGGCCUUGCGCUACUAGAGCGGCUGAUGGCAGAUUAGGUAGUUGGUGGGAUAAAAGCUUACCAAGCCGACGAUCUGUAGCUGGUCUGAGAGGACGACCAGCCACACUGGGACUGAGACACGGCCCAGACUCCUACGGGAGGCAGCAGUGGGGAAUUUUGGACAAUGGGCGAAAGCCUGAUCCAGCAAUGCCGCGUGUAGGAUGAAGGCCCUCGGGUUGUAAACUACUUUUGUACGGAACGAAAAGACUCUUUCUAAUAAAGAGGGUCCAUGACGGUACCGUAAGAAUAAGCACCGGCUAACUACGUGCCAGCAGCCGCGGUAAUACGUAGGGUGCAAGCGUUAAUCGGAAUUACUGGGCGUAAAGCGUGCGCAGGCGGUUAUGUAAGACAGAGGUGAAAUCCCCGGGCUCAACCUGGGAACGGCCUUUGUGACUGCAUAGCUAGAGUACGGUAGAGGGGGAUGGAAUUCCGCGUGUAGCAGUGAAAUGCGUAGAUAUGCGGAGGAACACCGAUGGCGAAGGCA
Molecule: ribosomal RNA, 608 nt
Filed under: Comamonas sp. N-QB-2012
Lineage: Bacteria; Pseudomonadati; Pseudomonadota; Betaproteobacteria; Burkholderiales; Comamonadaceae
Description: bacterial SSU rRNA
Rfam family: Bacterial small subunit ribosomal RNA
Source: RNAcentral